RNAcentral lists this ribosomal RNA (395 nucleotides) under uncultured Anaerolineaceae bacterium. RNAcentral's name for it is "bacterial SSU rRNA". It matches the Rfam family "Bacterial small subunit ribosomal RNA", at positions 971 to 1382 of the family's 1533-position model. Lineage: Bacteria; Bacillati; Chloroflexota; Anaerolineae; Anaerolineales; Anaerolineaceae. The record is from RNAcentral.
UUACCAGGGUUUGACAUACAAGUAGUAGGGAAGGAAACUGGACGACCUUCGGGAGCUUGUACAGGUGCUGCAUGGCUGUCGUCAGCUCGUGUCGUGAGAUGUCGGUUAAGUCCGCUAACGAGCGCAACCCUCGCUGUGUGUUACAAGUGUCACACGGAACUGCCGGUCAUAAACCGGAGGAAGGUGGGGAUGACGUCAAGUCAGCAUGGCCUUUAUAUCCUGGGCUACACACACGCUACAAUGGGAAGGGACAAUAGGUUGCGAAGCCGCGAGGCGGAGCCAAUCCAGCAAAACUUCCCUCAGUUCAGAUUGCAGGCUGCAACCCGCCUGCAUGAAGUUGGAGUUGCUAGUAAACGCAGGUCAGCCAUACUGCGUUGAAUACGUUCCCGGGGCUU